GGGUUGUGAGGUUAAGCGACUAAGCGUACACGGUGGAUGCCCGGCAGUCAGAGGCGAUGAAGGGCGUGCUAAUCUGCGAUAAGCGCCGGUAAGGUGAUAUGAACCGUUAUAACCGGCGAUACCCGAAUGGGGAAACCCAGUGUGAUUCGUCACACUAUCAUUAACUGAAUCCAUAGGUUAAUGAGGCGAACCGGGGAACUGAAACAUCUAAGUACCCCGAGGAAAAGAAAUCAACCGAGAUUCCCCAGUAGCGGCGAGCGAACGGGGAGGAGCCCAGAGCCUGAAUCAGCAUGUGUGUUAGUGGAAGCGUCUGGAAAGGCGCGCGAUACAGGGUGACAGCCCCGUACACAAAAGCGCAUGUGCUGUGAGCUCGAUGAGUAGGGCGGGACACGUGGUAUCCUGUCUGAAUAUGGGGGGACCAUCCUCCAAGGCUAAAUACUCCUGACUGACCGAUAGUGAACCAGUACCGUGAGGGAAAGGCGAAAAGAACCCCGGCGAGGGGAGUGAAAAAGAACCUGAAACCGUGUACGUACAAGCAGUGGGAGCACAGGUUUACCUGUGUGACUGCGUACCUUUUGUAUAAUGGGUCAGCGACUUAUAUUCUGUAGCAAGGUUAACCGUAUAGGGGAGCCGCAGGGAAACCGAGUCUUAAUUGGGCGUUAAGUUGCAGGGUAUAGACCCGAAACCCGGUGAUCUAGCCAUGGGCAGGUUGAAGGUUGGGUAACACUAACUGGAGGACCGAACCGACUAAUGUUGAAAAAUUAGCGGAUGACCUGUGGCUGGGGUGAAAGGCCAAUCAAACCGGGAGAUAGCUGGUUCUCCCCGAAAGCUAUUUAGGUAGCGCCUCGUGAAUUCAUCUCCGGGGUAGAGCACUGUUUCGGCUAGGGGGCCAUCCCGGCUUACCAACCCGAUGCAAACUGCGAAUACCGGAGAAUGUUAUCACGGGAGACACACGGCGGGUGCUAACGUCCGUCGUGAAGAGGGAAACAACCCAGACCGCCAGCUAAGGUCCCAAAGUCAUGGUUAAGUGGGAAACGAUGUGGGAAGGCCCAGACAGCCGGAUGUUGGCUUAGAAGCAGCCAUCAUUUAAAGAAAGCGUAAUAGCUCACUGGUCGAGUCGGCCUGCGCGGAAGAUGUAACGGGGCUAAACCAUGCACCGAAGCUGCGGCAGCGACACUGUGUGUUGUUGGGUAGGGGAGCGUUCUGUAAGCCUGCGAAGGUGGCCUGUGAGGGUUGCUGGAGGUAUCAGAAGUGCGAAUGCUGACAUAAGUAACGAUAAAGCGGGUGAAAAGCCCGCUCGCCGGAAGACCAAGGGUUCCUGUCCAACGUUAAUCGGGGCAGGGUGAGUCGACCCUAAGGCGAGGCCGAAAGGCGUAGUCGAUGGGAAACGGGUUAAUAUUCCCGUACUUGGUGUUACUGCGAAGGGGGGACGGAGAAGGCUAUGUUGGCCGGGCGACGGUUGUCCCGGUUUAAGCGUGUAGGUGUGUGUUCGGGUAAAUCCGGUUCACUUUAACACUGAGGCGUGACGACGAGGCACUACGGUGCUGAAGCAACAAAUGCCCUGCUUCCGGAAAAGCCUCUAAGCAUCAGGUAACAUCAAAUCGUACCCCAAACCGACACAGGUGGUCAGGUAGAGAAUACCAAGGCGCUUGAGAGAACUCGGGUGAAGGAACUAGGCAAAAUGGUGCCGUAACUUCGGGAGAAGGCACGCUGACACGUAGGUGAAGUGAUUUACUCACGGAGCUGAAGUCAGUCGAAGAUACCAGCUGGCUGCAACUGUUUAUUAAAAACACAGCACUGUGCAAACACGAAAGUGGACGUAUACGGUGUGACGCCUGCCCGGUGCCGGAAGGUUAAUUGAUGGGGUCAGCGCAAGCGAAGCUCCUGAUCGAAGCCCCGGUAAACGGCGGCCGUAACUAUAACGGUCCUAAGGUAGCGAAAUUCCUUGUCGGGUAAGUUCCGACCUGCACGAAUGGCGUAAUGAUGGCCAGGCUGUCUCCACCCGAGACUCAGUGAAAUUGAACUCGCUGUGAAGAUGCAGUGUACCCGCGGCAAGACGGAAAGACCCCGUGAACCUUUACUAUAGCUUGACACUGAACAUUGAGCCUUGAUGUGUAGGAUAGGUGGGAGGCUUUGAAGUGUGGACGCCAGUCUGCAUGGAGCCGACCUUGAAAUACCACCCUUUAAUGUUUGAUGUUCUAACGUGGACCCGUAAUCCGGGUUGCGGACAGUGUCUGGUGGGUAGUUUGACUGGGGCGGUCUCCUCCUAAAGAGUAACGGAGGAGCACGAAGGUUGGCUAAUCCUGGUCGGACAUCAGGAGGUUAGUGCAAUGGCAUAAGCCAGCUUGACUGCGAGCGUGACGGCGCGAGCAGGUGCGAAAGCAGGUCAUAGUGAUCCGGUGGUUCUGAAUGGAAGGGCCAUCGCUCAACGGAUAAAAGGUACUCCGGGGAUAACAGGCUGAUACCGCCCAAGAGUUCAUAUCGACGGCGGUGUUUGGCACCUCGAUGUCGGCUCAUCACAUCCUGGGGCUGAAGUAGGUCCCAAGGGUAUGGCUGUUCGCCAUUUAAAGUGGUACGCGAGCUGGGUUUAGAACGUCGUGAGACAGUUCGGUCCCUAUCUGCCGUGGGCGCUGGAGAACUGAGGGGGGCUGCUCCUAGUACGAGAGGACCGGAGUGGACGCAUCACUGGUGUUCGGGUUGUCAUGCCAAUGGCACUGCCCGGUAGCUAAAUGCGGAAGAGAUAAGUGCUGAAAGCAUCUAAGCACGAAACUUGCCCCGAGAUGAGUUCUCCCUGAGACUUAGAGUCUCCUGAAGGAACGUUGAAGACGACGACGUUGAUAGGCCGGGUGUGUAAGCGCAGCGAUGCGUUGAGCUAACCGGUACUAAUGAACCGUGAGGCUUAACCUUACAACGCCGAAG
Molecule: ribosomal RNA, 2919 nt
Filed under: Salmonella enterica subsp. enterica serovar Adjame
Lineage: Bacteria; Pseudomonadati; Pseudomonadota; Gammaproteobacteria; Enterobacterales; Enterobacteriaceae
Description: 23S ribosomal RNA
Rfam family: Bacterial large subunit ribosomal RNA
Source: RNAcentral